ACAGUGAACAUUCUCAGAACACGUCAUGAUGUCACCAACAGGAAAGUUAGAUGUGGGUGUGUUAAUAUCGUAUUCGCAAUGAAUCGUCGAGGAAAGAGCGGGAGCAAUACAUACAGACAAUCACAACUGCAACAUGAAGUGCUCAGGCAACAGUAAAGAUGGGAGUCCUUGUGAUUACACUUCAGAGAAGCCAUUUAGAUUUUGUCCACAAUGUGGCGAGUCGCCAUUGAUAGAGAUUCCUUGUCCUGGAAGAGAUAAUGAACCAUGUGGAGAACCAAUCACAGUUAAGUUCACGUUUUGCCCAGGGUGUGGAUUGAAAAUUGAUCAGACUUUAUUUACAAAACCAAGAAAGAAGUGUCCACAAUGUGAUGUAGAUGUACCUGAAGGAAAGAAAUUCUGCGCCGAGUGUGGUGCAAGAAUCACAUCUACAAAUAGUGAUUCUGACAAAGAUGAAAACAAGAACAAGAAGACAACACAACAGGAUGAAGCUGAUAUAAAUGCUAAUGCCAGUGGAGUAGCAGAGCCAUUUAAAGUGAGCUAUCCCCCUGUUGGAAUACAGGAGACAUCUCUUACAUCUGAGCCCAAACAACAUCAGCAGCCCGCUGAUAUUGCUCCUUCAAAUCCUGCGUCAAUUGUGUCAACUGUGAUACCUGAGCCCAAACAACAUCAGCAGCCCACUGAUACUGUUCCUUCAAAUCCUGCGUCCAAUGUGUCAACUGUGACACGUGAGUCGAAACAACAUCAGCAGCCCACUGAUAGAGUUCCAACAAACACUGCAUCCAAUGUGUCCUAUGUAACUAUUGUGCAAGCUGAGACUUCUCCCAACAUGAAGAGAAGCAUAUCUCCUGAACUGAUGACUGAUCCAAAAAAAACACGAUCCACAUCAAACCUCUCAAAUGAUGCUGGAAGUGUUUCAUACAAUUUGUCCACAACUGCUACUACCACAUCAGCUGACACAACUAAGACUGCUGAUAAAACAGCUGCGGCCACUGCAAUUGUUGCUAGUGAUAUUGCAACUAUGAAUGUGAUUCCAAAUGAGCUUGUUGCUACUGAUCCUGACAGUAGCCACGGUGAAGGUCAUUUAAGGGAUGGUCGAAAUUCACAAAGCAACAUUUCUGGGGUUGAUGAUAGCUCUGGAAAUAAUAUUGCUGACAGAGUCAAGAAAGGGAGGAAUGUGAUCAGCAAUCAAGCAGAAAUAGAAGGUCUUUCAAACACAAAUAAUUCAAACAGCAAAACACUGGUUGGAUCAAAGGCCACAUAUUCAACUACAGAUCCCCUGUCAAGAAACACACCUAAGGAAGUAGAAGACACUGCAGAUUCUUCAAAUGCAAAAUCUUUUGAAAAUAAGGGAGGCCAGAUUCAGUCAAACAAUGAGGAUAAAAAACCACAAACAUAUAGUAGUGUUGCUGCAAAGUCAACAACCAAUAAGAAUGCCUCACAGAACAAGAAAGGUGGAAAGGGUGCAGGUAAAGAAGCGGUAAAGGGAAAGCCAAAUGCAAGAAAAUCAGCAAGGGAAAGUGAUGUUGAGGUUGUUUUCCAUGCUCUCAUAUCAGAGGAAAUGAAGCUUGAUAGAAAAGAAGAGGAUGUGUACAUACGAUUCGGACCUCCAAGUCUAGGUGGAUUUGAGAACAGUGUUUGGAAAAUGGACUAUUUCAGAGAAGCAAUGGAUGGCGUUCAUGAGUAUAUUGCUCACAUACCCAUGUCCAGAGAUCAGCGAAACAAGACAUUCAAAUACAAAUAUAUCAUACAAACCAGUCCAGGUGAUGUUAGGUGGGAAGAACCAUACUACAGGAAGAAAGCCUACCAUGGAAGCGCCAUGGUAAAUCGUCAGUUUGAUUUGCCAAGUACAUGGAAACAGAUGCAAGGAGUUUGGCAUCAAUAUGAUGGAUUUGUGUAUCCCAAAAAGGAGAAAGGAUGGUGGAAUGCAGUUAAAAGUUUAUGGAAAGGAAGCUUUGAAGACAAGAUUCUAGCUGAUACAGAACUAGCCACUGAAUUAUUUAUGCCAAGCAAAGAUGAAAUCCUGAAAUGUUUGUCCCAGGAAUUGCCCCAAGAAUCAAAAACAGCAGAGGAUUUGUUGAGGGUAGUAUUUAUGGUCUUUUCAAGUAUGAAGGUCCAAAUGCUGGACAGAGACCUGAGAAAUGCUGAUGAUGACCUCAGAACCAAGGUAUUUCUGAAGUUCUUCAAACCACUACAGGAGCACCUCUUAAUGGGCCUUGACCAGAAAAGUCCAGUGUCUCCAGACAGAUCCAGAUUGGUUUUGGCUUCAUUUCUAUUACUUUUGGCCUGGGAGAAUGAUAUGUCACACAUCCUGCAGACCGAUAAGAGACUACCACAAGCAUUUCUGCCUCAACCAGACUUUGAAAAGAAAGAAUGCUCAGACAUUGCAUCUUUGAAGAAUCACUUCAGAGCCAAGGCAUCAAAAGAGCUUGUGGACUGUUUACGAUGGUCAAUAAGUCAACAUUGUCAAAACUUUUCAUAUGGAAGCGCAUCACAUUAUCAACAAUGUGCCGAGUCACAGUGGUUAUAUUUGGUGCCGCUCCUACACUUUUUGAGGAAAGAUUCAGAGCCAUUCAAAACAGUCUUUGACACUGAUCACACAAAAAGAACAUGGUGGGGCCAUGAAGACAUUGACCGCACAAAAGACACCUUGAAAGGGCUGUAUAAAUGGUCAAUUCCUGCAGGUAACAUUGCUGGAGAUCUGGAACAUUUGUUUGAAGUUGACCAUUUGCUACCAAGAACGCUGAUGGCAUGUGUAUCCAGUUCACAUUUGCUGGAUGCAGAUUUUCUGAACAAAAUACCACCUGAAGUCACUUCAGCAACAAUCUGCUACUACCUGAAAGCUCAAUAUUACACGAGGGAGGGCAAGGUGGCAAUCUCCAAACAAUUGCAAGUUGUGGCUCAGACAUACCGACAAAGAUGGGAGCGGAUGAAGGAUAUGUCACUCAAUGCAAGAGUUCUUGAACAACAUAUGGCACAAGCAAACCUUGGUAUGAGGACAGCCUUUGAGGUUUUUACCAUUUCUCUGAAAGAGAGAUAUGAAAUCACAGACCUUGUAGUCUCUGCUGCCAAUCUCUUCCUGAGCAGUCUUUGGGAUGGACAACUUAUGUAUCAAGAUGUGAAACUGACUCCUCAGCUUCAAAUUGAGUUGAACAAAUGUGUAGAGUAUCAUCAUUCCAGUCUGCGUGGUACCAUUGACAUGCUCCUCACAUGGUUGGAUCGUCGUUUUGAUUUUUUUCAGGUGCACUAUGUGAAAAGGUCUCUUGAGUUUUGGAAUGAAUUGGUUAAUGUGACAGUUGCCUUUCCUGCCUUCCAAAAAGAAUGGAAAGAUACCCUUCUUGAUGCUUUUGAGAAAAUUCUAUCAAAGAUGAAACCUCAUGACUGUUUAGAGCUACACAUGGAGGAUUACCAAACAAUCACUCUUUCAACAUCCCUGGAGGAAAGGAUGACAAGUGCUGCAUUCUCUUCUUUUGACAAGCUUGUGAAAGACGGAUAUUUCAACUCAUAUUCAUGGACUACCAUGAGUAAGAAAUUUGGAGAACUAAUGUCAAAACUAUUGGAAAGACAUUGGCCACAAGAUGAGACAACUGAAACACAAGUCAUGGAAUUUGUCCUCUCCUGGAAGCCCCUGAAGCACUAUUUUGAACGGUUCUAUACAAAAACCAAUCCAAGUGAGCUGUUGUCAGUUGACUGCAUUGCUCACCUUACACAGACUGCCACUCUUCUGGACAGUUUAAAAGAUGACUUAUGCAGUGGAAACAUCACAAUUCCACAGCUGAGACUGAUUCUUGGAGACAGUCACAACUUCUUACAACUUUGGGUUGCUGUGAAGACAAACUUUCUUGGUGAAGAUGAAAAACAAUUUGGAAAAGAACACCUUCAAUACAUCCUUCAGGCCAGAGAUAGAGAACUUAAAUCCUGUGAACUUUGUCUGCAGAAAGUGAAAAUUCUUCUGAAGAUGUGUGUGCAUAUUGUCAAAGUGGAUUCAAAUGCACUUUAUGAACGAGCUACAGAAGUGGACAAGAUGCUGGAGGUGGGAAGAGUAAAAGAAAUUUGCAAACCACUGAAUUUGGACAUGUACCCUGGAAGUCUUGAAAACUACCAAGUCAGACUCUGUGUGUUUGACAUUCCAGAUGAGGUCUUAGCUAUUGUCCCUGAACUUGAAAAGUGGAGACAGAGUAUGAUCUUUCAAAAGAUUUGGGAACAGAAAGCAAGUGAUAUUCAACAAGGGACUGAUUUGAACAUGGCCAUCUUGAAAGUAUGGAAUACAGUCAAAUCAACAUGGUUGUCACUGUGCACCCAAUUUGCUAAUGGGUCUGCAACAUUCCGACUUGUCCAAAAGCAUGUACUCAUGUUUGAUAGAGACAGCAAGAAAAUUAAAAGAGAGUUUAAGCUGAUGAGUGCAGACGUGCAAUCAACUGCUUGGAUUGAGGAAAGAGUGAUGCAGCUCAGUUCAUAUGAAGUGUUGCAAGAUUGUCAGAAAGCUGCUGAUAUCAUAUUGGACAUAAAAGAUAUCUAUGAUAUUUCUGGAAACUUUGCCCCUGUUCAAGCAGUCAAACUGCUGGGCAGCAAUCGUGAUCAGCCUAUGAGCACCAUGGAUGGAUCUGUUUUGAAAACCUGUGAUGUUCUUAAAGGCCUGAACGAUGAAACGAAACAGGCAUGUAUCAAGGCUUUCAAAGACAGUAAACAGCUAGUAGACUGGCUGAGAGACUCAAUGAAAGAUGGCGUGAAGGAACUGAAGGUGUUUGUGGACCUGGCAUUUAUCUCAGCUGGAGAGGAACCGAUGGAGAUACACAAAGUCAACUGUUUCCACUCAGCAACCACUGGAUAUGCUCCACUGAUCUUCAACACACCACAGACUGCAGACUAUGACUCUUUCCUCAAGAAUUGCGAACUUGUCUGGCAAGAACUGAGAUCAGACAGAAAGUUACCUGAAAAAUUGGUUGAUACAUGUCGUCAUCUACGGUGGCUGAAAGAAGUAAAACAGUCACAUGGCUCUGUGGAAGUAACAGCACUCACACAGGCUUCAAUGAUCAACACAAGAGGAUUAUACAGGAUUGGACAUCUGAACAAGCUUGAUACAGCUUCUGAUAUGAUGCUGACCAAUGUGAUCAGUUUACAUGUGUCAAAAGACACUGAGGACAAUACUUCACGAAAGUACAGCUACGACCAGUUGGUGGAUCUGCAGAGCAGACUCAUGCUGGUUGCAGGACAGGCUGAAAUUGGCAAUGAAAAUGUUGAUCACUUCAUUAUGGUCCUAGAUGGAAUCGUGCGUCUAGCCAAAACCUACAUCAGACUGUGUACAGAUGGAUGUGUCUUGUUCAAUUGUUGGAAGGGGAAGUUCCUAUGUGGAGAGGACACGAAAGUAUGCACUUUUUUGGAAUUUGGUCAAGGAGAUAAUCUUGAAACUCUGAAGGGACAUCGUGGGGUAGAGGGUGUGGGUGGCUUCAUCCAUGCUCUUGCCAAUGAGUUUGAGGUCUUCCAUGAUGAAUGGAUGAACUAUGUCAGUAACAGAAGAGAUGAGUACUUGGAGCUGAACUUCUACACCAUUGACCAGCUAGUGUUCCUUCAGAGAGAACUCAUCAAACUAGGCACAGAAGAGGAACCUUCUGUUCGUGUGUACUCAAUGUUGUCUCUGAUCAAGCCUGACUGUACCCAAGCAGAUCUCACUGAUGCCAUGCAGGCAGCUCAAGAUGCAGUCUUUACCAAAGACAAAGACACAGAUAAAGAAAUGGAAGUUGAUGUGCCACUUGAAGAAUCUGAUCUCAAACAAGCCUUCAUUAAUGCCAUGCUAGAAACAAACUUCUCGAACGGACUGGCAAGACUUGCUUUGGAGGCCAUUGGGCCUGAUGAUAUUGACAGUGGUAUUGUGUGGUGUAUGGAGCACCAGGAGGAAGAGUCUGAGGAGGAGACAGAGGUGAGAGCAUCAUCAGUGGAUCCACCAAUACAGGUCUUUGGUGGCUGGCACUCUGGGGGAGAGUCUGUUUCUUCCAGUGCUGUGUCCUGGGUCAGGAGUGUAUCAUCAAGCAACAGGAAUAUAACAACUGUUGAGACUUUGACAUCCAACUUGAGGUCAGUGUGGAAGACGUUCCUGGAAGCUGUAUCAUCCAGUGUAGCAGAUUAUCUCAGUCUGGAACAUCUGGGCAUCAUCCUCAGACAGCUGGCACAAACAGAUCAUCGAACCUUUAAGCGGACUAUACCACCACCACUUAAACCAGGAAUUUCUAACUUGAUUGUCUGCCCUCAAGCUGACAUGCUGAAUGCUGUUGUAUACAUGUACAAACAUUCAGAGGAAGAGCCACUUCCUCAGCAUGAUGAAGUCCUUCUGUGCACGCCACAAACUACCUUUGACCAGGUUGAUAUCUUCCUGCGUCGAGCCUUCUUCAGCAACCCUGGCAAGUUGUAUACAAUGGCCAAUGCUGAUCUGCUGCAGUAUGAGAUAGAGGAGAGGGCAGAGAAGAAGCUCAAAGAGUAUGCAAACAGAGAAGAAGGUCUUGACUAUCAGCUUGUGAUCUUGUGUUCUACUGAGAAUGAGUUCAAAGCAAGAAUUGUGGCAGCUCUUGAAAGACAGAGAUGCCCUCCACCUCCACUGCAACACUUGGAAGAUAUAAGACACUACCUGCAGUUGAAGUUUUCACAGAAGUAUGAAAAACGGGGAAUGACAUCUGCCUCAGGAUUAGAUUUCGAUGGUUCCACAGUGCGGGUGAUCAAGUCCAAGAGAGCUGGUGUGGGGAAGACCUUGUACAAGAAGCGCCAGGUGGAGGCACUGCAGCGUCUGAACCCUAGAGUCCCUGCUACAUCAGUGUCCAUACAUCUGUAUGAGAAAAGUGUGUCUACAAUGGCUGUGGCAGAGAAACUGCUGGAUCAUACACUGCAGUCUGGACAAGUCCUACCAAGAAUAUUCCACCUGGACAUCUCAUAUGAGGUUCAGGAAGGUGUCGACUAUCUCCUCUUCAACCUGCUGGUUCUGGGCUCUAUCAGCAACAACAUGGGACAUGUCUGGCUCAAGUCUCCCCUGGACUUGUAUCUGGUGGAGACCAUCCCCAUCACAGAUGUCAGACAGGACAGGAGAGCCAGUCAGCGUUUGAUACAUUCCAUACUGGAAGUCCUGCCUGAUGUUUUCUGCUGGUCUCCUCAAGACAGUCAGCAAAUACUCACCACAGACAACAAACCUGAAGAUUACUCUAAUAAUGACAGGCUGUUUGAUGACAUAGAGUUUCAAAGCCAAGUUUACCAGCGCCCCUUUCAGUAUCUGAAGAGAAUGAACAUCAAAGCCAAUCUAGCUGAAAUCAACCCUGCUGUACCAGAAGGGUCACAUCAAGAAUGUCUCAACGUCCUUCUACAACACUGUGGAGUACGAGACCCAGCUUGGUCUGAGCUUCACAACUUUGUGUGGUUCCUGAAUACUCAGCUGGUGGACUUUGAGAACUCCAUCUUCUGUUCAGACCUCAUUUUGGAGGAUCUACCUGGCUUCCCUGUGUUGGUGCUGCACUUCCUUAUCCAGAUGUCAAGGGACUUUGCAACCAGGUCACUAGUGAUGAGUGAAGAGUCACCUCUGGACCAGCUGAAUGUUCAAGAGAGAGAAGAAGAUCUUGCACAGUUUCAGAUGAAGCGGACAUGGGAAAGCAGCCCUCACCCUUACAUUUUCUUCAACCCUGAUGGCCACACCAUGACUUUCCUUGGCUUCAACAUUGACCGCCAGACUGGGAACAUGGUGGACCAGCAGACACAGAAGGUGCUGGAGAGAAAUCUUGUACCCAAACCACUACAAGAAGCACUGAUCAGAAACAGGGUCAACAUCAAUGAGAACUUUGAUCAGAUGCAAAGACUUGAGCGAUUGGCUAAGCUGUGCAGUGUGAUGCCAGGUGUUGACUUCGUACAUGACCCUGACGACACAUAUGAGCUGACAACAGACAAUGUCAAGAAGAUUCUUGCAAUUUACAUGAGAUUUAGGUGUGGAAUCCCAGUGAUAAUCAUGGGAGAGACAGGAUGUGGGAAGACAAGACUGGUCAAGUUCAUGUGUGCCUUACAGUGCAUGCCAGGCUCCGACAUGAAAAAUAUGGUCAUUAUGAAGGUGCAUGGUGGCACAACCUCUGACGACAUCAUCAAGAAGGUCAAGCAUGCAGAACAACUGGCCAUUGCUAACAAGGCUAGGAACCCACACAUGUACACUGUGCUGUUCUUUGAUGAAGCAAACACAACAGAAGCCAUUGGAAUCAUCAAGGAAAUAAUGUGUGAUGGCUGUAUGAAUGGACAGCCACUGAAACUGUCGGAAAACCUGAAGAUUGUGGCUGCCUGCAAUCCUUACAGAAAGCAUUCUGAUGAGUUGAUUCAGAGACUUGAAAAAGCCGGACUUGGCUAUCAUGUAGAUGCUGACAAGACAACAGAUAAGCUAGGCCAUGUCCCUAUGAGGAGACUUGUGUACCGGGUUCAGCCUCUGCCACAGAGCAUGCUGCCUCUUGUUUGGGACUUUGGCCAACUCAACAUACAAGUGGAAGAACUCUACAUCAGACAGAUGGUCAACAGAUAUGUACGAAAUGAUCAGAUACCAUUACAUCAAAACAUGGUAAACGUGGUCAGUAAGAUUCUAAUAGCCUCUCAAGAGUUCAUGAGAAAACAAGAGGAUGAGUGCAGCUUUGUAAGUCUUCGUGAUGUUGAUCGGACCCUGAGUGUCAUGUCCUGGUUCUACCAGCAGUCCCAGGAGAAUGGAACACUAUUUGAGAUGAUAGAUGAUGAUCUGUGUCCUGAAAAGGACCCAGAAGAGGAGGAAGAAGAGACAGUUCAACAAAACAAUUUGCCAAGUGAUGUGACCAAAGCCCUGAUCUUGGCACUAAGUGUGUGUUACCGAGCAUCACUGAGAAGUCGGGAGGAAUAUGAUCAACACAUCUUCAGAUAUUUUCAGGAUCCUUGUGGCAUACCUGGUGGAAUUGACCAGAUGGUUCAAGUCAUAAACAGCUGUCAGAGAGUGUUUGUGGAUGAGGUCCAGCUUGAAGAUAACAUAGCAAAGAACCAGGCCCUGAAGGAGAACCUGUUCAUGAUGGUUGUCUGUAUUGAACUGAGGAUCCCCCUUUUCCUGGUGGGAAAACCAGGCAGCUCCAAGUCCCUGGCCAAGACCAUUGUUGCAGAUGCUAUGCAGGGCAACUCAGCCAGAUCAGAGCUGUUCAAACAACUGAAACAGGCCCAGAUGGUGUCGUUCCAGUGCAGUCCUCUGGCCACUGCUGAAGGUAUUGUCGGUACCUUCCGUCAGUGUGCUCGCUACCAACAGGACAAGGACCUGGACAGGUUUGUCUCCAUCGUAGUUCUGGAUGAAGUUGGUCUGGCAGAAGACUCACCAAGGAUGCCCCUCAAGACACUUCACCCACUUUUGGAGGACGGUUGUCAGGGAGAUGAAGCGCCAGAGCUAUUCAAGAAGGUUGCCUUCAUUGGUAUCUCCAACUGGGCCCUGGACCCUGCUAAGAUGAACCGAGGAAUCUUGGUGCAGAGAGAAGCCCCCAAUGAUUGGGAGCUGGUGGAGAGUGCUAAAGGCAUUUGCUCAGCUAAUGAGAUAGUACUCAGAAGAAUCAAGCCUUUGCUGCCAGAGCUCGCUAAUGCCUACAAGACAAUAUUCCAUAGAGCACAAGAUACGAAGAGAGAAUUCUUUGGUCUCAGAGAUUUCUACAGCCUUGUGAAGAUGGUUUAUGCCUUUGCUGAUAAACAUGAUCGAGACAUUUGCUGGCAUCAGUUGGUGCAUGCUGUAAGGAGAAACUUUGGUGGCCUUGACAACCUGGACCCUGUUGUUGUGUUCAGGGACAAGAUUGGUACAGUUCAAAAGCUGGAAGAGAAACAUCAUGAUGAUCCUGACUCCACAACAAUUGGGCUGAUAGAAGAUGGUCUUUUAGGUGAUGGUACAAGCAGUGAGAGCCGUUACCUGCUGUUGCUGACAGAGAACUACGGAGCUCUGAGCAUCCUACAGCAAGAGAUUUUAGCCAGACAUAAAGUCAUUACAAUCUUUGGCUCAAGUUUUCCCAAGGACCAAGAAUAUACACAGGUGUGCCGUAACAUCAACAGAAUCAAGGUGUGCAUGGAGACUGGCAGCACAGUGAUCCUGUUGAACCUGGAGAAUCUGUAUGAGAGUCUUUAUGAUGCACUCAACCAGUACUAUGCCAGACUUGGAGGUGAACGUUUUGUUGAUCUUGGACUUGGAACACACAGAGUAAAGUGCAGAGUUCAUCAGAACUUCAAACUGAUUGUAGUAGCAGAAAAGCAGAAGGUGUACGAAGAGUUUCCAAUACCGCUGAUCAACCGCCUGGAGAAACACUUCCUGACACUCAACAACAUGAUGUCACCAGAGCAGAUAGAACUGUCUCAGAAGCUGGAGAAGUGGGCAGUGGACUUUGUAACCUUCAAAACACCCCCACUGGGAAGGAGACCAAAGAAAGGUUCCCCAGGAGAUGCCUUCAUGGGGUACCAUCCAGACACAGCUGCCGCUGUUGUGCUUCAAGUCCUAGGGAGGGAGGACCGUAUCGUCACCAUUGAAGAAGAAAUGUUUAAAGAAUGUCAGCAGACAUUGUUGUGGUGUGCCACACCAGCAUCAGUUGUCAGACUCGCCGAGCAGAAGCUGUAUCUGGAAGCAAAGGAUAUCCACACACUCUACUGGCGCAACCAGAAACAUGAUGACAUCUUCCAGUAUCUUCAGUGGAAGAUCGUGCAGCUAAAAUGUCAGACCCUGCAAGCUCAGGUAACAACUCACUCCAAGCUGCUGACAGACCAGGAGAAGGAGGACUUGAGCAUACAUCUGAGUCUGCCUCCCAACAACAUCAUCCUCCUCACACUGCAGUCCUUUGACACAGAGCAGCAGUUUGCACAGCAGAUCAAAAACUUUGUGCAGCGGAGUGUGGAGGGUCAGAAACUGCUGCUAGUUCAGUGUGGAUCUGGAGACAGGAACCAGUCUCUCAUCAGGAGUGCCCAGUACUGUGUUCUGGAUGAGCUGCAUGAUGCAAGACAGUUUGCUGUAGUCUUCAUCAUACAACUGCCUAAUAUUGCUGGAGGAUGCUUCUCUGGCUUUCAGGCUGGGAAAUGGCACUCAUUACAUCUAGAUGAACUGCGACCACCAACUUCAGACCUGCCAUCCAUGGAGGUGCUUCACCAGAAUUCACCGUCAUCUAUUCUUGAAGGACUGAAAAGCAAUAUGCCACCUACAAGUGUCCAACCUUCAGAGCAGAGGAUUGAACCCAUGGAGUAUGAGGAAGAUUUGAUGGGGAAUCUAGAUGAUCAAGAAGGUCAGAAUACCAGACAGAGACAUUCAGAGUUGAUGGAAGUUGAUGAAUCUGUUAAUUACCGCAGACAAGAUCCAUUAGAAAUGGAUGACAUAACGCUAGAAGGAAUGACAUCAAUGACAGACACUGUUGCUCCCUACUUCCAACACCUCCUUCUACCCUGCAUCCAGUCCGCUGCUGCUCUCAUCAGGGAUGUAGAACUGGACACCAAACGCUCUACCAAGAGGAUAGAGAUCCUCCUGAAGCUCCUGGAUAACACAGACAACGAAGAUGCCAAGAUGUUCAUGCAAGGCUUGUCCAAGCUCAUCAUCAGCCUCCUGAAAGAAAAAGAGGAAUCACAGACUGGUAUCUUGCCAACAAACUGGCUGUCUAAAGAAGCUGCCAGACCAGAGAAUGUCAGAAAGGCUGGAACGUUCAGACGUGCUGCCAUCCAGUGCCUUGAGAACAAAAUGACCCCAGUACUGGCUCGAGUUCUGGCAUUCCUUGAUACCAGCAGGAACCUAGACUUCAUGCAUGCACCUGAUGUUGCACCAUGGACGAAAAGACUAUGGCUGGCAUUGCUCAACAACACCACAGUCUGUCAUGACCAGUGUAAGAGGAUCAUCACCCCUGGCAACCAGUCCCAGCAGAGUGAGGUUGUACCACAUCAUUUUGGAGUCAGCAAAUUGGUGUUUUCAGUUCAGAUGCCAUUUUUCUGGCUUCUCUUUGAAGGUGUUCAACUUGCUAUUGGACAGUCAGAAGACAUUGGCAAUUCUUUUGAUCAAGACUCACAUGACUCUUUGAGUUAUGUGGAGAACAUCGUCAACAAGACUCCGUAUGGCGAAGUCCUGUCAUCUGUUGUAAGAAAAGAAGAAAAAAGCGGGGUUGUGAGAGCAUACCUUGAAGAUUUUGUCCAUACACUCUAUUUUGGGAAAACAGAUGAGUUUGAGAUUCUCUGUCAUGCCUUUGAGAGUGCAGCCAGACAGAGAGGGAGAGACCUGGAUUGUCUAGGAAUUAUACGAGCUGUAGUCUACAUCCACGUUAUCCACUCCGCUGCCAAAGAGAGGCUGCAGCUCUUCCUGGAGGUUGUCCAGGUCUGGCCGGAAGUUGUGACGGCUGUCAUUGACUUGAAGGAGAGAGUAGGAGGGAACCCACUGCUCACAGAUGAUGAAAUGACUUUGGAUGUUCUGAGUCUGACACUUCUCAUGGAGCAGCUGGAGCCAAGUAAGGAUGAACUGAACACAGAUAAAGGCCGAUCAGACUGGAUGGAUCGUGUCAAGACAUAUCUGCCUGUGAUAGGUAGAAUCUUCAAGGCAACAGACACAGAGCUUACACAUGGCAAUGUGUGUCUCAGGGCAAUGAAUCAUGCCAGAUGCAGUUGGAUGCGAGUUAUGACAAUGAAACUGUUUCUGGAAAGUUUUACUGGAAAUAAGAAGGUUCAGCUGGAGACGAGAUGCAUGCCUCUUUGGAAGAUGCUUGGUGAACAGACUGAUCUGACCAAACUAGAGUCACUUGAAAAAGUAGAGAAAUUCUUGAAAAUAGUCAACAAAUCAGUUGUGAAGAAAAUCAGUGGGAAAAUAGGUACUUGUAGUCACUGUGAAUCAGAGUAUGAAGCACCACCAGUAGAGCUUCCCUGCAAAGACAAGAUCUGCCUACGUUGCUUCAAUGACAUCCAAGCCACAAGGGAUUUAUGUUGUCCUAUUUGUAAUAGUACAAUCUCAAAGAAAUUUCAACCUGGCAGUGGCCCAUCACAACAAAAGGAAGUGUUCAAAGAAUACCAAGAGUAUCAGAAGUGCUGCAACAGCUUCCUCAUGUCUGUGGUGUCCAAGCUGUGUUUUGGUGGAACAGAGCCUCCAGAGAGUGCUGUCAUAGAAAGGAUCUUCAGCUACAUCACUCGCACUGUUGAGCAGGGGGGAUCUGGCCAGACAGAGGAAAGGUUGCACACCAAACAAAUGUCUGUGUUUGAUGACAUGAUUGAUCCCACACCUGUGGUUCGAUCCUUUCUUCUUCAACUUCUCAUACACAAGAGUGAAGAUAUGGUGCAAACAUACCUACAAGAUUUUUUUCUCCAGGCUAAGAACCUGUGUGAACAAGAAAGAAGGGAGACAUCCCAGGAAACUAAAGACAAAAUUGUCCAGUUCAGUCUUCUUGUCAUACACUGCUUUGAGGACUUGUACCAUGAGAAAGGGUCUCAGAUAAUGAUAUCAUCAGAGGAGAUGCGUACUGCUUGUUUCCGGCUGUCAGAAGGCAGAAGCUACAUUCUCUCAUCAGGUUUGGAUAUGGCCAAGCUGUUUAUUAUUGCCCAAUGUAGAUAUGGUCUGUCAGUGACAGCCAAAUAUCUGCAUGCAGUGUUUGUGAACAAGAGACCUUCUGUAGAGAAUUUCAACAAACUGUUGGAAAUGACUUCACAACUGCUGAGUGUCCAAGAUACAGAAUGGCCAAAGAAGUUCUUGGUGAAGCAGAUAUGUCGGGAGUUUGGGACUGACAGCUACCAUGCUAUCUGUGAUACUGGCAAGGUGCCAUGGCUGGCUCUGGAUGUUACAGAGCAGGUAAAGGAAUGCCCAGAUCGAUUUGUGGUGUGUCUUGAAAACACCACGUACCAAAAAGUAAGAGAAGCUUUGGCUAAGACUCUCCUUGGUGAAGACAUCAAGCACCUGAAACAACUAGUAAAGGACAAUGAGAUGCUGUUCCUCCUGGCCAUACACAGGGAAGUGACGAUGAGGAACAUCAACCCUCAGACACAGGCACAAUCUGUGGAAGAGGUUGCAAAGUUCAUUGAAACAACAAAAGAAAAGGUUACUCAAAAGGAGACAGCUCUGAGGUUACUGAGAAAUCAGCUUGGUCGUCCAGGAUCUUGCUUGACUGUUCGUCAAGGUCAGAGCAUGAGAGACCAGAGUGUGAUGUGUCUUCUAGUCCAUGCAUAUAUUACCCUAACUCACUUCAACAAGGCAACAAACUUCAUGAAACCCCUCACAGACCUCAUUCUGGCACCACAGACAAUGAUGAACAAGCUUUUUCCCACAAUGCCACAGGAUGACACAGAUGUCAUCAGACAAAGUUUGGCAAGAGAAGGAACCAUUGUCUUCUUUCAAUGUCCUAAUGGACACCCAUAUGCAAUUGGAGAGUGUGGUAGACCUUAUACUGAAGCGACGUGCAAUAUCUGUGGGUCAAAGAUUGGUGGACUAUCACACAUAGCAGCAACCGGAAAUACACAGCAUACUGGUGACCAGACCCGUCCUGGUCAUGUUCUGGGAAGAGCAGCAGAUAGAACCAGUGCCUAUGCUGGAGAACGUAGACUGGGAGGAGCUGUCUGUGCUGUUCUGCGUUUCUUCACUCAUGCUGCAUUACUUCUGGGAGCAGAGAACAAUCCGCAGGCAGUAGCAGCUCUGGUCUACCCCCAGCUACAGCAGGAUACCAGUCAGUUUUUCUUGGAGCACCUCCAGAAGGACCUUCAGAUCAUCCAUCUGGCCACAGGGAAGAGUGUGGAUGAUGUCUUCCUCCUCCUGCACUUCAUCUGUCAUCAGAUUUCACAGUCAGAAGUAUACAGACGCAUGGAGCCACAAGAACUGGUCAACAAGCAGGUCAGGGAAACCUGGGAGGAACAGUUUGCAAAUUCUUUCAUUGGCCCAGUGUUACAGGAUCUUGACAACUGCCUGAAUACAUGCAAUGAGAGAAUCAUGAAGGACAAGAGAAUAGGUCAGGACAAGCUGAUGUCUAUUCUGUAUGAAGUAGACACUUCCACUCCCCAGCAAGUUGACUGUCUCCAUGAGUUCCCAGCUGUCUGGAGGUACCGGUCACGUAUCACCCUGGAGCAUUUCCUGCGAGAGUUCCAUCUGAAAGUAGAGAACAGCAAGGGCAAGAAAUCCAAGAUGGAAGUGCUCAGCCUUUUCAGACAAGAGCAUCCAUUCUUACAAGCACUACAUCACAUCCCAAAUAUUCUCCGACUACAACAGUACCUAAUGGCAAAAUACAGGCGGCGCCUUGAUAGAGUGGAAGCUAAAAGAAUUACCAUUGCUGAUGCUGCAGAGGAAGGAAGCAACUCUAUUGAUGUCCUGGAACAUCUGUCAAAUUUCACAGCAGCCUGGGAAUGUGUCAAGGAAGGACUACACAGUUAUGGAUGUUGGACAGUCCAUGAUGGUCUGAUACACCUGCCUGAUGCCUACAAGAACAUGAGGAUAGAGGAGAACUCCCCUCUAGCCGUCCUUCUGCCGUCCACUCAGGGACCCGGUAUCUGCUCCUACAUGAUGCUGGAGUUCCUCUUCAGGAAGCACAAUGAAUUCAUGGAAAAAUACUGCAACAAAACAAAACAAAAGUAUGAGCACCUGCCUGAGGUCAACAUGAGGAAACUUCACAGUAACCACCUGGUCAGCUACCACCCUGACCGUGACCUGCUGCCCCUUGUCCUGGCCAACUGUAACUACUCCUUUGAGCUGGGGAAAGGCACCACCAUUGAGUAUGACUUUGAAGGAUUUGAGUAUCAGCUCAAAGAAGUCAUUUUACAGGCCAAGUCAAGAGUGGAGAAGAAGUCGCAUAUCAUACCUAUUGACACUAUGGUGUACAGAGCUGACACAACCAAUUCUGUUGUCUUCAAGACGCUGAGAGACAGAAUAGAUCAGGAAUCACUUUCUCCAGCGGUGAAGGUACAAAUUGUGUCUGAACUCAAGUCCAGCUUGCCAGACAUCUGUGACUCUAUCAACAACUUGGACAUCACCACCAGCUUCCUCAAGUCUCUGGGAGGAGAUCCAGACAAGUCACUUCAGACUUUCAUGACAGAUGUGCUCAAGAUGAAACAGACAAUAACUAGUCAGAAGGCCCGACAGUUUUGCAGAUUCAAGCAUAUACAGUCUUUGUGGCUGUUGCUCAGUUUUGAGAAAUCAGUUGUCUUAGCUCAACAUGCACAGGAUGCCUUUGACGAUUUUGACAAUGAACUGAAAGAAGGUCUCCCAGAUGAUGCCAGAGCUCAUCUUAAACAGUUUUGUCAGAACAAGAACCUAGAAAAGCUGGAGUACCUUUUGCAGCAAAUGUUUGACUGUCUUCUGCUGAGAGUAGCUCAACCAGUUGACCCAAAUGAUCAGGAAGCCAUCGACCUGAAACGCAUAAGUCUGCGAGACAUCCUUCAAGGUGACCGAGAUGCUCCGCUGUACUGUAAGGAACCUGAUGAGACACUGACCGAGGAAGACAUCCUCACAUUCCCAGCAGACAUCUUGGGGAAGCACAUUCCCGACACCUGGCUGUCUGUCCUCCGGGAACUCACACAACGCAGAAAGGAGUUUCAAUAGUGCCUCAACUUCUGUCAAUAGUGGAUUGUCAUACUUAUGUUGUGUAAAUGUUGAAUCUAAUAGAAAUUAUGAAUUGUGGCAGUCCUCUGGUAACUCACACAACGCAGGAAGGAGUUUCAAUAGUGCCUUCAGUGUAGGUCAAUAGAUCGUCAUACAUUUGUUGAAGUAGAAUGAAGAUGUCGAUCACUUAAUAUUACAGACUUAUAUUAAUUCUUGACAUAACUACUUUCGGUUUGUUUAUUAUCUUUAUAUUUGAAUUCGCUGAUGUUACAAUUGCUCUCAUGUAUAUAUUCUUUUUCAUAUAGUGCAGUAGUUUUCCACUUUUUGCUUUUCAUUUUGUGAUGUGUUAUAACCAAAUUGUUUUGAAUACUUGUAUCUUGAAACAUUUUUAAUGAAACUAUACGUAUCAUGUUAUGUAUGAUUUAAUCACUCGAUAUAUAUUUUCUAGACUUUUUCCUAUUUAGAAUAUGUAUAUGACAUAAAUUCAAAUGAUUUUGAUAGUGCUGAUGGAAAAGAAAUAUGUCCUUGCUCUUAGUACUUAGUACUGCUUACUCUUACAUAUUGCAUAAUAACAUAUAUUCUGGAAUGAAUGUUUUUGUUCAUGCCAGAGGUUUAAUGUAGGUUACAACAUUGUAGAUGUAUACAUAUGUAUUUUCUUUGGUGUGACAUUCUGCUGUGCCAAGAUGUACCAGUAUUGAUCUGUAACAUGGUCUACACACUAUGCUAUAGAAUACACAUUUCUUUUUCUUACCUGAUCUUAAUACAUGCAGCUGUGUACAGAGAUUCACCUAAAGAAAACACUCAUGCAUUCUGUGUUGUCAGAAAUAUGUAACUGAUGGAUCUGUUCCCUCUACAUGAUCAUAUUAGUAACUGCACCCUUUGCUAUGUAUAUAUAUAUGCAGAGAUUUAAUUCAUAUUUGUUGUUAGAAUCAUAUAUAAACUUCUCUGUCAUUGGUGUUUGAAGGUGAACUUGUAUGAGGAUUUGAUCAGCAUCUGUCUGAUUUGCAAUAUGUUGACCUUCUUAUACAGAUUACAAUUUCUAUAUGGAUUGUAGAUGAAUGUUUACAAAUUAUUAUUUUGUUGAGUACUGAGGUAAGAAGAAGACAUUUUACCUGAACAGAGUCUUAAUAACCAAGCUUGAUGUUAAUAAUAAUAUUAUUUAAAGAAUCUUUAUUGAUUUUUUGUUGUUUUGAAACAUGUCAAACAGUAAUAAACACACAAAUGGAUGUUCAGUAAAUACUGUAGAUCAAUAUUAUAUCAAUGACAGGAAUAUGAUAUGAAUGCAUUCUGUUGUGUCAAGUUGAGGAGAAAGGGUUAUUUAUGUGAUGUUAUAGGAGUUGAAGAUACUGCAUUUUCAAUGUAGAACUAUAUGUUCCCUGUAGAUUUGAUGUCACUUAGUUGACUUUCAAAUCCAAACUAUAAUACUUUCUGCCCAAAUGGAUACUUGAAGUAUUUUGGUAACUGCAACUCUGCUUUCUGUAGCCUACACUUGUACAUACAUGUAUAAUCAUUUCCAAAUGACUGAGACAGAAGAAACCUAUGUGCUAGUCGAUCAAUUUUCCUGUAUUAUUUCCAAUAUGUUUGAUAGUUGACUGCACUCAGAAAGUCAGAUUAUCAAUCGUUUUGUGAAAGAUUUAUCCAGGGUAUGAUUUAUUCAGGUUAACUGAUAACAUGUAAUAAUGUGUAUAUCACUCACUCACUCAGACACACACACACACAAUAAUAUUAAAUAACAUAAACACCAUUUUAUAAUCAUGCUUUUGUUUGCUUCACAUGUACCGGUACGUUUUGUAGGGGUUUUUUUCAGUAAUAUGUCAGUUUUGAUUUCUUUCCUGUAUUAUUGCAGUUUGCUUCAUUCAAUGCAGCACAUCCAGAAUGUGUUUUUUUCACCAACAUGGUGAAUAAAAUGUACAAAAAGUAAUGUUGUUUAUCUUUGUAUUAGUAGAUAUACAUUUUAAAAGCAAGAGCUUUAUGAGCAGUUGUUUAAAGUGGUUUAUAUCAUCCAGUAUGUAUGCUAUAGUAAAACAUUUCAUGUGUUGCUUGGAAUAUUUUGACUUUGAAGUUACAGCUAUGAUCUGUCUUUCAAAAAAUGUUUCAUUUAACAGGACCUCAUAAAUUCAGUAUAUUGAUAAUGAGAUGUAUUUAGAUGUCCUUUUAUAGAAAAAGUGACAAAUCAGGUCACAAAACUAGGUUGAUAUCUUGAUUUGUUGAGAGACUGUGUUACAGUAGAUAGAAAACUAAUUAAUCUAGAUGACAUGACCAUCACACACGAGGUUCCCCGACACAAACUGCUGCAGUAGUUAUUAUAGUCGAGGAACUAUUGUGAUUGGCUGAAUGUCAAGGAUCAGGAUGUUAGUAAAUAGGUGAAGUGUGUAUAUAUGUCAUUUUACAAUCAGGUUUCAUUUGUGUACAUAUAAAUUCAUUAAAUCAGAUUUGUUUUAUUUGAUUCUUUAGUUGCUUUUGACAUCCCAGUUUAAUCCUUUCUCCUCAACGGAUGAUUUAAUGAGGCAAAUGUUUGAAAGUUUGAAAUAUAUUUUUGUUUAUCUAGUGUCCAUUUUCAUACCAUUCUCUUAAACAGUGAAAUCAUGAGCACUUUACAGAAAAUAUAUCUCUGUAUUUGGAAUAUGAUUAUUGAAGGUCAUCUUUUGAAUAUAUUUUACUAUAGCUUAGAAAUACAUUUGCUCAUACCUGUACAACAAAAUAUAUUCAUGGUGAGGUGAGGUGAAAUUCAAGAUUAUUGCACUUAUAUAUAUGUGUCUGUCUGGCUGAUUGUACUAAUCCUGGCUAAAUCCGGGGUUUUUUUUUGUGCUAGCCCACUGAGAUACCAUGUGGCAGUUUAACAUAGCCCACUCAGACAAACUAUAAUGAUUCCUAGCCGCAACAUGUAAGUAAACUGUGUAUAGAACUGAAGUUUCUGUGGUAAAGCAAAAAGCAAUGAUUGCAUGACAUGGUACCUCUUAAUUGUGAAAAUUAAGGAUGUUGGAAAGGCUCGUCAUUCUGUGAUGUUAAGGUUAGAAAUAUGUUUAUCACAUAAUAUUUUGUUUGUUUAUCUGCUUUUUAGGUGUUGGUUGUAUUUGUUUUCUAUUUAACAAUAAAGAACUCACCUUUAAUCAUGUUAUUACAGUUUGUAACACAGCAGUCAUAGUAUUUAAGACUUUGUUAUGAUCGGAAACCAGAAUAAUAAUAGUUUUCUCAGAAGACAUUUUGAUUCUGUGCUCUUUAGGUGAGGAAUGCAUGACAUGAUUUAAUAAAGGCUUAUAACUGGUU
RNAcentral lists this unclassified non-coding RNA (19777 nucleotides) under Haliotis rufescens (red abalone). RNAcentral's name for it is "e3 ubiquitin-protein ligase rnf213-alpha-like, transcript variant X1". Lineage: Eukaryota; Metazoa; Mollusca; Gastropoda; Lepetellida; Haliotidae. The record is from RNAcentral.